AGUGAACGCUGGCGGUAGGCCUAACACAUGCAAGUCGAACGGCAGCACAGUAAGAGCUUGCUCUUACGGGUGGCGAGUGGCGGACGGGUGAGGAAUACAUCGGAAUCUACUUUUUCGUGGGGGAUAACGUAGGGAACUUACGCUAAUACCGCAUACGACCUACGGGUGAAAGCAGGGGAUCUUCGGAUCUUGCGCGAUUGAAUGAGCCGAUGUCGGAUUAGCUAGUUGGCGGGGUAAAGGCCCACCAAGGCGACGAUCCGUAGCUGGUCUGAGAGGAUGAUCAGCCACACUGGAACUGAGACACGGUCCAGACUCCUACGGGAGGCAGCAGUGGGGAAUAUUGGACAAUGGGCGCAAGCCUGAUCCAGCCAUACCGCGUGGGUGAAGAAGGCCUUCGGGUUGUAAAGCCCUUUUGUUGGGAAAGAAAAGCAGCAGGUUAAUACCCCGCUGUUCUGACGGUACCCAAAGAAUAAGCACCGGCUAACUUCGUG
This 491-nucleotide ribosomal RNA is filed under the name uncultured bacterium. RNAcentral's name for it is "partial 16S ribosomal RNA". It matches the Rfam family "Bacterial small subunit ribosomal RNA", at positions 29 to 507 of the family's 1533-position model. The record is from RNAcentral.